AUCCCUGGGCUCANGAACGAAACCCGCUNACCGGGUGUGGCUGGUAGGUAUUGUGUGUAGGUCGGGAACGAGGAAAGGCCCCUUUCGGGGGUUAAGUACAAGUGGGCGGAACGGGUGGAAGUAAACAACGUGGGCCAAUUCUGCCCCUUCGCAUGGGGGACAACCCGGAGGAAACUCCGGGCUAAUACCCCAUACGCUGGCGAACCCGCAUGGUUCCGUAGGAAAGGGUAGCUUCGGCCAUCCGGCGAGGGAUGAGCCCGCGGUACAUUAGCUAGUUGGUGGGGUAACGGCCCACCAAGGCAACGAUGUAUAGUUGGUCUGAGAGGAUGAUCAGCCACACUGGGACUGAGACACGGCCCAGACUCCUACGGGAGGCAGCAGUCGGGAAUCUUGCGCAAUGGGCGAAAGCCUGACGCAGCAACACCGUGUGAGCGACGAAGGCCUUCGGGUCGUAAAGCUCUGUUGUUGGGGACGAAGGGCGAGGGGUUAAUAGCCCUGAGCUUGACGGUACCCUUCGAGGAAGCCCCGGCUAACUACGUGCCAGCAGCCGCGGUAAUACGUAGGGGGCGAGCGUUGUCCGGAAUUAUUGGGCGUAAAGAGCGUGUAGGCGGUUCGGUAAGUCUGUCGUGAAAACCCAGGGCUCAACCCUGGGCGUGCGGUGGAUACUGCCGGGCUAGAGGGUGGUAGAGGCGAGUGGAAUUCCCGGUGUAGCGGUGAAAUGCGCAGAUAUCGGGAGGAACACCAGUAGCGAAGGCGGCUCGCUGGGCCACACCUGACGCUGAGACGCGAAAGCGUGGG
Molecule: ribosomal RNA, 798 nt
Filed under: uncultured bacterium
Lineage: Bacteria
Description: bacterial SSU rRNA
Rfam family: Bacterial small subunit ribosomal RNA
Source: RNAcentral